GUGGGGAAUCUUAGACAAUGGGCGCAAGCCUGAUCUAGCCAUGCCGCGUGAGCGAUGAAGGCCUUAGGGUUGUAAAGCUCUUUCAGGGGGGAAGAUAAUGACGGUACCCCCAGAAGAAGCCCCGGCUAACUCCGUGCCAGCAGCCGCGGUAAUACGGAGGGGGCUAGCGUUGUUCGGAAUUACUGGGCGUAAAGCGCACGUAGGCGGACCAGAAAGUCAGGGGUGAAAUCCCGGGGCUCAACCCCGGAACUGCCUUUGAAACUCCUGGUCUUGAGGUCGAGAGAGGUGAGUGGAAUUCCGAGUGUAGAGGUGAAAUUCGUAGAUAUUCGGAGGAACACCAGUGGCGAAGGCGGCUCACUGGCUCGAUACUGACGCUGAGGUGCGAAAGCGUGGGGAGCAAACAGGAUUAGAUACCCGGGUAGUCC
RNAcentral lists this ribosomal RNA (425 nucleotides) under uncultured bacterium. RNAcentral's name for it is "bacterial SSU rRNA". It matches the Rfam family "Bacterial small subunit ribosomal RNA", at positions 354 to 796 of the family's 1533-position model. The record is from RNAcentral.